AACGAACGCUGGCGGCAGGCCUAACACAUGCAAGUCGAGCGCCCUUUCGGGGGAGCGGCGGACGGGUGAGUAACGCGUGGGAAUAUGCCCUUCUCUACGGAAUAGCCUCGGGAAACUGAGAGUAAUACCGUAUACGCCCUGCGGGGGAAAGAUUUAUCGGGGAAGGAUUAGCCCGCGUUGGAUUAGGUGGUUGGUGGGGUAAUGGCCUACCAAGCCGACGAUCCAUAGCUGGUUUGAGAGGAUGAUCAGCCACACUGGGACUGAGACACGGCCCAGACUCCUACGGGAGGCAGCAGUGGGGGAUCUUAGACAAUGGGGGCAACCCUGAUCUAGCCAUGCCGCGUGAGUGAUGAAGGCCUUAGGGUUGUAAAGCUCUUUCAGCUGGGAAGAUAAUGACGGUACCAGCAGAAGAAGCCCCGGCUAACUCCGUG
Molecule: ribosomal RNA, 431 nt
Filed under: uncultured bacterium
Lineage: Bacteria
Description: partial 16S ribosomal RNA
Rfam family: Bacterial small subunit ribosomal RNA
Source: RNAcentral